UAUCCCGAGUAGCAUGGGACACGUGGAAUCCCGUGUGAAUCAGCGAGGACCACCUCGUAAGGCUAUAAUACUCCUGAGUGACCGAUAGUGAAAGAGUACCGCGAGGGAAAGGUGAAAAGUACCCCCGUAGGGGAGUGAAAUAGAACAUGAAACCGUAUGCUGACAAGCAGUGGGAGGGGUUAUGGCCCUGACCGCGUGCCUGUUGAAGAAUGAGCCGGCGACUUAGAGGGAGUGGCUUAAGGUUAAGGAGUUGUAUCCGGAGCCAACGCGAAAGCGAGUCUGAAUAGGGCGUUUAAGUCAUUUCCUCUGGACCCGAACCCGGGUGAUCUAAUCAUGACCAGGAUGAAGCUUGGGUAACACUAAGUGGAGGUCCGAACCGACCGAUGUUGAAAAAUCGGCGGAUGAGUUGUGAUUAGGGGAGAAAUUCCAAUCGAACUCGGAGCUAGCUGGAUCUCCCCGAAAUGCGUUGAGGCGCAGCGGCAACGAUGAGCUAUCAUGGGGUAAAGCUACUGUUUCGAUGCGGGCUGCGAAAGCGGUACCAAGUCGUGGCAAACUCAGAAUACAUGAUACUGUUUACCGUAAGCCAGUGAGACUGUCGGUGAUAAGAUCGAUAGUCAAGAGGGAAACAGCCCAGAUCACCAGCUAAGGCCCCUAAAUGGUUACUAAGUGGAAAAGGAUGUGAGAAUGCUGAAACAACCAGGAGGUUUGCUUAGAAGCAGCCACCCUUGAAAGAGUGCGUAAUAGCUCACUGGUAAAGCGUUCUUGCGCCGACAAUGGCCGGGACUAAGUAACCUGCCGAAGCUGUGAGAUUUCU
This 814-nucleotide ribosomal RNA is filed under the name Chlamydomonas applanata. RNAcentral's name for it is "LSU rRNA". It matches the Rfam family "Bacterial large subunit ribosomal RNA", at positions 404 to 1212 of the family's 2925-position model. The record is from RNAcentral. Lineage: Eukaryota; Viridiplantae; Chlorophyta; Chlorophyceae; Chlamydomonadales; Chlamydomonadaceae.